RNAcentral lists this ribosomal RNA (513 nucleotides) under uncultured bacterium. RNAcentral's name for it is "partial 16S ribosomal RNA". It matches the Rfam family "Bacterial small subunit ribosomal RNA", at positions 28 to 523 of the family's 1533-position model. The record is from RNAcentral.
GACGAACGCUGGCGGCGUGCUUAACACAUGCAAGUCGAACGAUGAAGCCGGAGCUUGCUCUGGUGAAUUAGUGGCGAACGAGUGAGUAACACGUGGGUAACCUGCCCAUAAGACUGGGAUAACUCCGGGAAACCGGGGCUAAUACCGGAUAACAUUUUGAACCGCAUGGUUCGAAAUUGAAAGGCGGCUUCGGCUGUCACUUAUGGAUGGACCCGCGUCGCAUUAGCUAGUUGGUGAGGUAACGGCUCACCAAGGCAACGAUGCGUAGCCGACCUGAGAGGGUGAUCGGCCACACUGGGACUGGGACACGGCCCAGACUCCUACGGGAGGCAGCAGUAGGGAAUCUUCCGCAAUGGACGAAAGUCUGACGGAGCAACGCCGCGUGAGUGAUGAAGGCUUUCGGGUCGUAAAACUCUGUUGUUAGGGAAGAACAAGUGCUAGUUGAAUAAGCUGGCACCUUGACGGUACCUAACCAGAAAGCCACGGCUAACUACCUGCCAGCCGCCGCAGUAA